Molecule: transfer RNA, 74 nt
Filed under: Candidatus Woesearchaeota archaeon
Lineage: Archaea; Nanobdellati; Candidatus Woesearchaeota
Description: tRNA-Phe
Rfam family: tRNA
About the family: Transfer RNA (tRNA) molecules are approximately 80 nucleotides in length. Their secondary structure includes four short double-helical elements and three loops (D, anti-codon, and T loops).
Source: RNAcentral
GGGUGGAUAGCUCAGCCUGGGAGAGCAUUACGCUGAAGACGUAGGGGUCGGGUGUUCAAAUCACCCUCCGCCCA